CCUACGGGUGGCAGCAGUGGGGAAUUUUCCGCAAUGGGCGAAAGCCUGACGGAGCAACGCCGCGUGAGGGAUGAAGGCCUCUGGGCUGUAAACCUCUUUUAUCAAGGAAGCGGUACUUGAUGAAUAAGCCACGGCUAAUUCCGUGCCAGCAGCCGCGGUAAUACGGGAGUGGCAAGCGUUAUCCGGAAUUAUUGGGCGUAAAGCGUCCGCAGGCGGUCUUUUAAGUCUGUCGUCAAAGCGUGGAGCUUAACUCCAUUUCUGCGAUGGAAACUGGGAGACUAGAGUGUGGUAGGGGCAGAGGGAAUUCCCGGUGUAGCGGUGAAAUGCGUAGAUAUCGGGAAGAACACCAGUGGCGAAGGCGCUCUGCUGGGCCAUACUGACGCUCAUGGACGAAAGCCAGGGGAGCGAAAGGGAUUAGAUACCCUGGUAGUC
This 432-nucleotide ribosomal RNA is filed under the name uncultured bacterium. RNAcentral describes it as "partial 16S ribosomal RNA". It matches the Rfam family "Bacterial small subunit ribosomal RNA", at positions 338 to 795 of the family's 1533-position model. The record is from RNAcentral.